This 632-nucleotide long non-coding RNA is filed under the name Anser brachyrhynchus (Pink-footed goose). Its description in RNAcentral is "lncRNA (ENSABRG00000008314.1)". The record is from RNAcentral. Lineage: Eukaryota; Metazoa; Chordata; Aves; Anseriformes; Anatidae.
AGUCCAUCCAUGUGUGCCACAGAUAUAAGCACAGGAGUAGAUUUUGGCAUGAGGAGGGGUUUUCUAUUUCAAUCCGCAUUUGAAUUGGUCCCACUGGCUUUGUUGGAUCUGCAUCGUUCUCAUUAGAGUCACCUCACAGUUUACAGCAUGUCUGCACAUCCAGGGGGCAUCUCAGUACUGGUCUCCUUCCCUCACUCUUCCCAGAAGCAAUGGACCAAACACAGCAGGCUGGCGAUGUAAACUUUCAUGCUUCUUCAUGGCUGAGAAAGAGUUGUGGGUUUUUUUGUUUAUUUUUUUCCGGGUCAAAGAAAUCCUAAGAAAUCCUGAGGAGGAGUCUCUACUUCCACUGCUGCAUUGCAGAGCUUUUGAUUGGACUCAUGACCACAGCUUUAUGGCAAGGAAUUCCCCUGCCAGGCACUGGUCACGAAUGGACGCUGAUGAAUGCCACAGGCCACAUCCCGUGCCAGCAGGAGCAUGCUGAGAUUUGUGCUCUGUACUUCUGGCAACUGCUCUUAAUGGGAGAGAAGUGUCCUGAUCUCUCGGAUGUCACCACGUCACAACAGGCAACAAAGUCUUCCUUAGAUGGACUUCUGUAUAAGACAUACUUGCUUCUUUUAAUAUCCCAAAUGUAA